This is a non-coding RNA of Felis catus (domestic cat), 85 nucleotides long. The record is from Rfam. NCBI's taxonomy places the organism in Eukaryota, Metazoa, Chordata, Mammalia, Carnivora, Felidae.
ACCUGGGUGGCUCAGUUGGUUAAGCAUCUGACUUCAGCUCAGGUCAUGAUCUCAUGGUUUGUGGGUUCAAGCCCCAUGUCGGGCU